AUUGCCUAGUCCAAGUUUACAGAGAUUUACUCCUAUGUUUUCUUCUAAGAGUUUUGUAGUUUUAGUUCUUACUACUUAUAGUAAGAACUAUAAUCUUAGGUCUACAUUCCAUUUUGAUUUUUUGUACAUAGUAUGAGGUAAUAAGCACUUUUUUCUAUGAAAAUUUAUGGUAGCUAAGUUGGCAGAUAACACUUUGACUAAACUGAUAUAUAUUGGAAAAAUAGAGUCAAUUACUUGAAAUUAUGUUAAUCUAUUAAUCUGAUUGUGAAGAAAUAUUAGAAUUUUGGCUUCAAAUUUAAGACAUUCUAGCCUUGUCUUUUCUAACUUUGAUUUUCUUAAAGCUAAUAACAGUAAAAUAUUCUAUUAUUCUUUGAUUCAUAUUUAUUAAGCCGUUAUAUUAGGAAUGGGAAAUAAUUUUCUAAGGGAAUUUUGCUAACUCAUAGGAAAAAAGAAAAGAAUUCAAGAGCCAGAGGAGUAAAACAUAGCUUUAAUUAUUAUUUUAAAGAAAGUAAUAAGAUUAAAAAAAAAGUCCAUGAAUCUGGUUCUUACAUUAGGAACAGGAAACUGAAAUCAUUAUUUAAGCACUUAAGUAUUAAAUAUUUAAGUGCACUGUGGUUCUACACCUUGGCCAACUGCUGAGGAAGAGGAAAAAUAUAGAAGGGCGUAGGAGGGAAGGAUGAGGGAAAAUAUAAAGAUAGGCGAGAGAUGAAUAGUUAGGAAAGCCACACCCAAAUGGCUAGUAUGGCCUGGCAUUUCAUACGGGGUGUGAGCAAUAGGGAGUGGGAGACUGUGGCAGAGCAGAGAAGACCCAUCUGGACGUAUGGCACUUAAUUACAAACAUGUAAAUGUUCCUGUGCAAAAAUUCCUACAUAUCAAGUAGACAGAAUAAAAGAGGAAAGAAAGAGACAGGAAUAAACAUAGGAAUUAUUCACAGUGAUGAAGGGAAAAUCAGGUUUCAUGAAGUAAUAAGCAUUUUGGGAGACUGGAUUUAAGUCAUUUUUAAAGGAGGAGUGGACUCCCUUUAUACAAUCAAAAGCACAAUGAAAGAUACCCUAUCUUGGUACUAUCACCCUGGGUAGGGUGACAUUAGGUUAAGAGCCUGAUUCAGCUUUGCAACCAUAUCUUUUAUCCUGAGAGGGUCUCUCUCCUGCAUCUCAGCUAGACAACAGUGCAGAAGAUAGAAUUUCUUCUAGUGAGUUCAUAGGCAUCCUUGUAGUAUGUUGUUUUGCUUAUUUCAUAUAUUUCAUGCAGCCUUAGCACACCAGGCACUUAUUAGGAUCAUAUAUAAAUGACUGCUUUGUUUUUCUUUCAAGGAGCUCACAGCCAAAAUACAGGUCAGUAAGCAAAAGUUUCUGGGUCUUCAACACAGCAUUAAACAUGUAAUAAUACUAUUGCAAAUGCUAAUUCAGACUGUAAACUUACUAGAAUUCAGUUGUACUGAAUUGACAUGAGCUACAGGCUCUUCAACUUGAUAAAGGGGUUUGAAAUGAUUAAAAUAAAAUGUUGAUAAAUAUCCACAAAGUGAGACUCUAUCGGUGUGUGACAAGUUUUUAAUUUAAGAACAUUACAUUCUAUUGUAUCAAGUCCUUCAAUAAUAUUAAUUUUCAAGAACAUUAAAUUCUGUCUAGUGUACUGAAGCUGGUAAUUAUAAUGCAUAAAAAUAGCUGAAUACUAGGGUAGUGCCAAUUACUCUGUCACUCAUGAGUAAUCAACUAUUUUUGUGCAGCACGAUAUAUAUGAUGCCUGCCCACAGAGUGAUAAUGUACAGCACAUAAAUGAAAAAUAAUUUUUCAAAAGCAUGGUGAGGCACGCCUGAAAGCUUUAACAAAUUUACUUGAGAGCUAAGUUAUGUCUCUUUGAGGAGUGCUAAAUCAAAUGGUUUGAAGAGAUUUUGGUCCUGGACUGGCCUGUGUGUCCGCAUCCCAGGAAUGCUGGAUGCACAGCUUCUGUGUGGUUAAGAUGACCUGUGACAAUUGGCAGACCAAAUGUAGGACACUGAUGUGUAGGCUAUGUGAUGAGUGGAGCCUAUGGAUGGGUGAAUUACAGCAGAGAUAAUGCUGUCUGCAUCAGGGAUAGGCAUUGCACCUGUAGGAUUUCCCUGUAAUUUCUCAGCAGCCACUCUAUGAAGAUAGGAGAGUCUUCUCUGAGGCUGAUCACCCCUGGCACUUCUUCUUCAGCUGUGUUCUGCCAUGCUCACCACACCCCCUGCUUUUUGGAAGCCCUCAGCCAUGAGCCUCUCAGAUGCCUCGAGUAUAGCUCCCUUCCUCAGUUAUGGGCUCUUUCAAGAAAGGGAGCUCAGGAGGAAGCUGAUAAAAUUCAGAAACAGCAAGAAGACCGCUUUAUAGGGUUGUUAGAAUUAAAUAGGAUGUUUAUAGAGCAUUUACUAUGUGCCAGGACCGGUUUAAUAGACACUAAAUUAUUAUUUUUACUAUUAAUUGUUAUCAAUGAUAAUAAUACAUGGUACCUAACUGCUUGUUUAGUGCUCUAACAAUCCAUUUCUUCUUUAUAGAAAACUAAGUAGUCACAAAGGAGGUAAUAGUCAGAUACUCCUCUCUGUUACUGCAGUGUUUCAUUUUAUUUAGGUUUAUGUAUAAUUUCCAUUAAAAUCUAUCAAAUUGAAGUAUAUUAAGAAAAAAAGUUUGGACCUAGGGGUGCUCCAGAAGAUGCUAGGUACAAUAUUAUACAAAGCAAAUUAUUGGAUUCAGUGGGUGAUGUUUACCAAGCAUUCACUGAGGAGCUCUCUAAAUGAAUGAAUCUGGUUCUUCCCUCAGAGAGUGUGUGUUAUAGCACAGGAGAUGGGAAGGAAUGCAUGCCAGACACAAAAGAUUUAUUGCAAAUGCAAGAAGAGGUCUAGGACAAGGUACGUAAAAUAACUGGAUGCCUAAAUGUUGGAAUAAUCAGUACUAGAUGAAGUCAGAGAAAAAUUCACAGGGGCUGAGCUAUAAGCAACUUAAAAGAGCAGAAGGUCUUGGUAGGAAGGAACUGAAGGAGGUGAGAUGUGAGGGAAUUGGCAGCAUGAGGACUGGAAGAGGGCUUAAGUCAACCUUCUGUAAAUGUGAGUGCGAGUGCAUUUGUGCAUGUAGGUGCAUUGGGAUAAGAGAUAGUGAGAGAGGCAUUAGGUAACAAAAACCAAGAGAGGAGAGUAUGAGCUAGGGAGUCAUUGGGAAGAAAGGAUCCUAGCCAUUUUUAUUGCAUACUAAGUACUGUGCUACAUGACGAGGAUACACUGUGAAUGAGCCGCGCCAGCUUCUGCCUUCAUGGAGCUUACAAUGUAGAGAGGGAUACAGAAAAGACUGAAGGCACAGAGAUCAGCUGAGAGUCACCUGCAACAGUCUGGGGGAGAAAUAUGGUGGCUUGAACUGGAUAGUGUCAGAGAGUGCUUUAGGUUCGUAAUAGAUAAGCCCAGAAUUCUCAGUGGCUUGACACAACAAAAAAUUUGUUUCAUGCUGUGCCACAGCCCAAUAUGGGUAUUCCUUGUAGACAGGCUUCCAAGUGCUCCUUCAGAGACUGAAGCUUCCUGUAUCUCAUGGCCCUAUCAUCCUCUAAGACCUAUGAGCCCACUCCAUUCAGGUGGUGGGUGAGGAAAGAGCCUUGGGAAUGAACGUCUGCUUCAUAAAUGCUAAGGAGUACCAGUACCAUCAACUUACAUUCCAGGGGCAAAGACUAAUCAUAUGCCCUCUUCCCCACUCCAGAUACUAUGGCUUAGAAAAUAUAGUUUCUGCCUGCACAGCUCUUUCCUUGACAAUUCCACACUACAGAAGAGAAGCACAAAUCCUGAGUGGUCCGACAGUGGCCUCUGCUACACAGUUGGAUCAGUGAGACGUGAAUGAAAUAAAGAGUAACCCAGGAGCUGGAAUCAACAGGCAAAUUAAUUAAGCUUCUGUGACUGACUGGACAUGAUAUCUGAGCGACAGGACAUCAAAACUUCAGCUCAGCAGAGGGAAGAGGAAGGAGGAAAAAAGAAGCCCAAGGCAGUGAAUUGGAGAAGCCAAUCAGCCCCUUUCUCAUUGUAGGCUUUCAGCCUGAAGCAGAAGCAAGCUGAGAGGGGAGGAGAUUUACUGCUAAGUCAAGCCCAGAGUUAUAAUUAUUAUACUGAAUUGAACAUUUUAGUUUCUGAAUCAGUCUGUUUUUCAUCCAGGCACAGGGAAACAUUACUACUGCUAAAUAAAGCCUAAUGGAACAGUGGGAGGCAAAAAUAAAGUUGUGUUUUGAUUACAUUAUGAUAUAUAUGAGCUUGAGUAACAACGCAAUUUCACAUGCAGUGCUAGCUUUGUAGGAAAGGAAGGAAAUGUCCAAUGGUGCAAAAAAAAGAAUAGUUUGUUGAAAUUUGAGUAGGAGAUGCAGUGAGCAGUAAGCAAAUGCAGUCAGGAGACUAAGCUUUGUGCCCAAUGCAAGGCGAGUGAACGGAACCUGAGACUCCUAUGUUAGUUCAGACCCUGGAAGGAGGACAAGCUCGUUCCAGGUCUAGCAUUCCCUGGCCCCCUGCAGAAGCAAGGGAACACCUGCUCUGGAGGAAGGCAACCUCAAUUGGCCCUCAGGAUUCCCAUAGUAGAUUAAGAUCUACCAGAUACAAAUUCACAAAGAUCACCAAAGUGACAGAAGAAAAAGUCUCUGUCUCACCAUGAGCACACUUGGCAGAAACAGUAAACAAAGGAUUUGGAGCCCUAAUGAAUUCAGAUUUUGGAAUUAUCAGAUGUAGAAUAUCAAAUGAUUAUGUAUGAAAUGUUUAAAGAAAUAACCUCGUAUCUCCCAGAAAUGAGAAAGCAAUAAGGAACUGUCCAAAAUAAGGAGGAAGAUUUGAAAAGAAAGCAAACAAAUUUCAAAAUGGAAAAAUAUAAUUGUUGAAAUUUUAACAAUUAAUGAGUUUGUUAAACAUCAGAUUAAACAAUUGAGAGAAUUAUUGAUGGUGGAUUGAAAGGAAUUACCUAGAAUGUAG
Molecule: non-coding RNA, 4936 nt
Organism: Equus caballus (horse)
Lineage: Eukaryota; Metazoa; Chordata; Mammalia; Perissodactyla; Equidae
Source: RefSeq, a predicted model, not a curated record